This 301-nucleotide ribosomal RNA is filed under the name uncultured bacterium. RNAcentral's name for it is "partial 16S ribosomal RNA". It matches the Rfam family "Bacterial small subunit ribosomal RNA", at positions 512 to 808 of the family's 1533-position model. The record is from RNAcentral.
CAUCGCCGCGGUAAUACGAAGGGUGCAAGCGUUACUCGGAAUUACAGGGCGUAAAGCGUGCGUAGGCGGUGAGUUAAGUCUGCUGUGAAAUCCCCGGGCUCAACCUGGGAAUGGCAGUGGAUACUGGCUCGCUAGAGUGUGUCAGAGGAUGGUGGAAUUCCCGGUGUAGCGGUGAAAUGCGUAGAGAUCGGGAGGAACAUCAGUGGCGAAGGCGGCCAUCUGGGACAACACUGACGCUGAGGCACGAAAGCGUGGGGAGCAAACAGGAUUAGAUACCCCUGUAGUCCCUGUCUCUUAUACA